This is a long non-coding RNA of Oncorhynchus tshawytscha (Chinook salmon), 6666 nucleotides long. The record is from Ensembl. NCBI's taxonomy places the organism in Eukaryota, Metazoa, Chordata, Actinopteri, Salmoniformes, Salmonidae.
GGUGGAGACCAGCAUUUUCUCAUCAGCUCAUCAUGAUAUUCUAAUCCAGUGGGAGAUUAAAAUAGCCCUGUUUCCUAAUAUCCUCCAGAGGGCCGUGGAAAGGACCAUGGCCUCUCCCUAGCUAGCACAGCUUGUUCCCCAGCCACACUCUCCACCCAGAGCCCUGCCAAGGACACCCACCUGCAGCCCUACUUGUCUUAGCCAUGUAGGGACAGACCCACAGCAUCGGACGCAUGGAGUGAGGAUUUUAGUAGAGUUAAGGAGAGGAGGAGUGGAAAAGGGGGGAAGGGAAAGAGAGGAGGAGGAGGUUGACUCUCUCCCCCAUAUCUCUCUUUCUCUCUCUCAAUUUCAAUUUCAAUUUCAAUUUAAGGGUUUUUUAUUGGCAUGGGAAAUAUAUGGAAUGGUGCCGGAGGGGAUUGGCUGCUGUUUCACAGGCUCCUUAUCAACUGUGCUAUUUUGUGUGUUUUUCACAUUAUUUGUAACUUAUUUUGUACAUAAUGUUGGUGCUACUGUCUCGAAAGGUGCUUCUGGAUGUCAGAACAGCGAUUAUUCACAUCGAACUGGACAAAGAUCUUUUCUUUAAUGCGUCCGACGUGAAGGAUAUACCGUUUCUUCGAGACCAGGCCCAAAUCCCCGUCAUUCGCGUAAAGAAUACAUGUAGGUACAGCGGGCGUAGAUCGGGGUGCCUUGUGAGAAUUCGCCAGGGAGAGGGUAACCCGCCUCUACUAUCCGUUCUUGGCCAAUGAGCAAUCACUGGAGAAUAAACUAGAUGAGCUCCGUUCGAGACUAUCCUACCAACCGGACAUUAAAACCUGUACUAUCUUAUGUUUCACAAGUCGUGGCUGAACGACGACACAUAUAAUAUACAGUUGGCUGGGUUUUCCAUGCAUCGGCAGGACAGAACAGCUACGUCUGGCAAGACGAGGGGUGGUGGUGUGUGUCUGUAUGUCAACAGCUGGUGUGCGAUGUCUAACAUUAAGGAAGUAUCGAGGUAUUGCUCGCCUGAGAUAGAGUAUCUCAUGAUAAGCUGUAGACCACACCAUCUAUCAAGAGAAUUUUCAUCUACAUUUUUUGGAGCUGUCUAUUUAUCACAACAAACCGAUGCUGGCACUAAGACAGCACUUAACGAGAUGUAUAAGGCCAUAAGCAAAUAAGAAAAUGUUAAUCCAGAAGCGGCGCUCCUAGUGUCCGGAGACUUUAAUGCAGGCCAACUUAAAUCCAUUUUACCUAAUUUCUACCAGCAUGUGCAACCAGAGAAAAAAAAACCUCUAGAACAUCUUUACUCCACACACAGAGACACAAACAAAGCUCUCCCUCGCCCUCCAUUUAGCAAAUCUGACUGUAAUUCUAUUCUCCUGAUUCCUGCUUACAAGCAAAAACUAAAGCAGGAAGUACCAGUGACUCGCUCAAUACGGAAGUGGUCAGAUGACAUGGAUGCUAAGCUACAGGCCUGGUUUGCUAGCACAGACUGGAAUAUGUUCAAGGAUUCAUCCAAUGGCAUUGAGGAGUACACCACAUCAGUAACCGGCUUCAUCAAUAAGUGCAUUGACAACGUCAUCCCCACAGUGACCGUACGUACAAAUCACAACCAGAUGCCAUGGAUUACAGGCAACAUCCACACCGAGCUAAAGGCUGUAGCUGCCGCUUUCAAGGAGUGGGAGACUAUUCCGGAUGCUUAUAAGAAAUUCCGUUAGGCCCUCAGCCAAACCAUCAAACAGGCAAAGCGUCAAUACAGGACUAAGAUUGAAUCCUACUACAACGGCUCUGACACUCGUCGGAUGUGCAAACUAUUGUGGACCACAAAGGGAAACCCAGCAGCGAGUUGCCCAGUGACACGAGUCUACCAGACGGGCUAAAUUCCUUUUAUGCCUUCUUCGAGGCAAGCAAAACUGAAGCAUGCAUGAGAGCACCAGCUGUUCAGGAAGACUGUGUAAUCACGCUGUCCGUAGCAGAUGUGAGCGAGACCUUUAAACAGGUCAACAUUCACAAGGCCGCAGGGCCAGACAGAUUACCAGGACAUGUUCUUAGAGCAGGCAUGGACCAACUGGCAAGUGUCUCACUGACAUUUUCAACCUCUCCCUGACCGAGUGUGUAAUACCUACAUGUUUCAAGCAGCCAACCAUAGUCCCUGUGGCUGUCACGCCCUGACCUUAGUUAUCUUUGUUUUCUUUAUUAUUUUGGUUAGGUCAGGGUGUGACGAGGGUGGUAUGUGUGUUUUUGUGGUUUUUGUACAUCUAUGGGGUUUUGGAUUUGUCUAGGUAAAUGUACGUCUAUGGUGGCCUGAAUUGGUUCCCAAUCAAAGGCAGCUGUUUAUCGUUGUCUCUGAUUGGGGAUCCUAUUUAGGUUGGCAUUUUCCAUUUUGGUUUUGUGGGUUAUUGUCUAUGUGUAGUUGCCUGUCAGCACUCGGUUUAUAUAGCUUCACGUUCAUUUUGUUAGUUUGUUUAGUGUUCAAUCGUUAUUAAAAUAAGUAUGUAUUCAUAUCACGCUUCGCCUUGGUCUCAUCAAUACAACGAACGUGACAGUGGCCAAAAAACUGAAGGUAGCCUGCCUAAAUGACUACUGCCCAGUAGCACUCAAUUCGGUAGCCAUGAAGUGCUUUGAAAGGCUGGUCAUUGCUCACAUCAACACCACCAUCCCGGAAACGUUAGACUCACUCCAAUUGGCAUUCCGCCCCAACAUAACGCCCCUCGGGAGUGCGUGCUUAGUCACCUCCUGUACUCCCUGUUCACCCAUGACUGCAUGGCCAGGCACAACUCCAACACCAUCAUUAAGUUUGCUGAUGACACAGCGGUGGUAGGCCUGAAACCUGAGUCCAGACACCUGGCCGUGUGGUGCCUGGACAACAAACUCUCCAUCAACAUGAGCAAGACAAAGGAGAUGACCGUGGACUACAGGAAAAGGAGGGCCGAACAUGCCCCCAUCGACCGGGCUGUAGUGGAGCGGGUCAAGAGUUUAAAGUUCCUUGGUGUCCACAUCACCAACAAACUAUCAUGGUCCCAACACACCAAGAAAGUCAUUCAGAGGGCAUGACAAUGCCUUUUCCCCCUCAGGAGACUGAAAAGAUUUGUCAUGGAUCCCCAGAUCCUCAAAAAGUUCUACAGCUGCACCAUCGAGAGCUUCCUGACCGUUUGCAUCACCUCCUGUUAUGAUAACAGCUAGGCAUCCGACUGUAAGGUGCUACAGAGAGUGGUGAGUACGGCCCAGUACAUCACUGGUGCCAAACUUCCUGCCAUCCAGGACCUAUAUACUAGGCAGUGUCAGAGGAAGGGACAAAAAAUUGUCAAAGACUCCAGUCAUCCAAGUCAUAGACUGUUCUCGCUGCUACCACAUGGAAAGCGUUACCGGAGAACCAAGUCUAUGUUCAAAAGGCUCCUUAAUAGCUUCUACCCCAAAGCCAUAACGGUAAUGCUUGCCGUCUGGGGAAGUAGAGGAGGACCAAGGUGCAGCAUGGUAAGUGUUCAUAUUAUUUAAUGAAAUAUGCAACACUAGACAAAACAACAAACACGACAAACAAACAGUCCUGAAAGGUGAAACAAAAACACUAAACAGGAAACAACCACCCACAAAACACAAUGGAAAACAGGCUACCUAAAUAUGGUUCACAAUCAGGGACAACGAUUGACAGCUGCCUCUGAUUGAGAACCAUACCAGGCCAAACACAGAAAUAGAGAAUCAUAGACAAACUAACAUAGACAACCCACCCAACUCACGCCCUGACCAUACUAAAACAAAAGACAAAACAAAGGAACUAAGGUCAGAACGUGACAAUAACACUGCUGAACAAUUGAUCAAAUGGCCACCUGGACUAAAUAGUCCCUCACCUUUGUUUUUACACUGCUGCUCGCUGUUUAUUAUCUAUGCAUAGUCACUUUACCCCUACCUACAUGUACAAAUUACAUCAACUAACCUGUACCCCUCCACAUUGACUCGGUAACGGUACCUCCUGUAUAUAGCCUCAUCACUGUUAUUUUAUUAACUUUUUAUUUGAUUUUUUACUUCAGGUUAUUUAGUAAAUAUUUUCUUAACUCUAUUUCUUGAACUGCAUUGUUGGUUAAGGGCUUGUAAGAAAGCAUUUCACGGUAAGGUCUACACCUGUGGUAUUCGGCGGAUGUGACAAAUAGAUAAUAAACAAAAGUGAAAUAAACAAUAAAAUGAACAGUAAACAUUACACUCACAAAAGUUCCCACAAUGUUGUAACGAUGUGCAAAUAGUUAAAGAACAAAAUAGAAAAUAAAUCAACAUAAAUAAGGGUUGUAUUUACAAUGUUGUUUGUUCUUUACUGGUUGCCAUUUUCUCGUGGCAACAGGUCACAAAUCUUGGUAUUUCACCCAAUAGAUAUGGGAGUUUAUCAAAAUUGGGUUUGUUUUCGAAUUAUUUGUGGGUCUUUGUAAUCUCAGGGAAAUAUGUGUCUCUAAUAUGGUCAUACAUUUGGCAGGAGGUUAGGAAGUGCAGCUCAGGUUCCACCUCAUUUUGUGGGCAGUGCGCACAUAGCCUGUCUUCUCUUGAGAGCCAGGUCUGCCUACGGUGGCCUUUCUCAAUAGCAAGGCUAUGCUCACUGAGUCUGUACAAAGUCAAAGCUUUCCUUAAUUGUAGGUCAGUCACAGUGGUCAGGUAUUCUGUUUGCUCUGUUUUUUUGUUAAUUCUUUCCAAUGUGUCAAGUAAUUAUCUUUUUGUUUUCUCAUGGUUUGGUUGGGUCUAAUUGUGUUGCUGUCCUGGAGGUCUAAUUGUGUUGCUGUCCUGGAAAUCUGUGGGGUAUGUUUGUGUUUGUGAAAAGAGCCCCAGGACCAGCUUGCUUAGGGUCUCUUCUCCAGGUUCAACUCUCUGUAGGUGAUGGCUUUGUUAUGGAAGGUUUGGGAAUCGCUGCCUUUUAGGUGGUUGUAGAAUUUAACGGCUCUUUUCUGGAUUUUGAUAGUUAGCGGGUAUCAGCCUAAUUCUGCUCCGCAUGCAUUAUUUGGUGUUUUACGUUGUACACAGAGGAUAUUUUUUGUACAGUUCUGCAUGCACAGUCUCAAUUUGGUGUUUGUCCCAUUAUGUGAAUUCUUGUUUGGUGAGCAGACCCCAGACCUCACAACCAUAUAGGGCAAUGGGUUCUAUAACUGAUUCAAUUUGAUGUUCCUUUUGAUGUCAUUGAAUGCCCUUCCUGCCUUGUUUCUCAGAUCGUUCACAGCUUUGUGAACGAUCUGAACUUACUCUAAAGAACUUCUCCUCUGCAGCAGAGAUAACUCUGGGUCUUCCUUUCCUGUGGCGGUCCUCAAGAGAGACAGUUUCAACAUAGCGCUUGAUGGUUUUCACGACUGCACUUAAAAAUAAAUUUUGAGUCAUUAAAAUUUUCCGGAUUGACUGACCUUCAUGUCUUCAAGUAAUGAUGGACUGUCAUUUCUCUUUGCUUAUUUCAGCUGUUCUUGCCAUAAUAUGGAGAAUGCCAAGAGUGUGCAGAGCCGCCAUCAAGGCAAAGUGCCGCUGAUAUUUAGCCAAAGGUAUAUAUAGUUUUUUGUGUGCUCUAGGGCAACGGUGUCUAGAAUGGAAUUUGUAUUUGUUGUCCUGACCUUUUUGGAACACCAUUAUUUUUGUCUUACUGAGGUUUACUGUCAGGGCCUUGGUUGGGGACAGAAGAACCAGGUCAUCAGUAGACAUUUGACUUCAGAUUCUAUUUGGGUGAGGCCGGAUGCUGCAGACUGUUCUUGUGCCCUCGCCAAUUCGUUGAUAUAUAUUUUGAAGAGGGUGGGGCUUAAGCUGCAUCCUUGUCUCACCCCACGACCCUGUGGAAAGAAAUGUGUGUGUUUUUUGCCCAUUUUAACCACACACAUUUUGUUUGUGUACAUGGAUUUUAUAAUGUGGUAUGUUUUUCACCCAACACCACUGUCCAUCAGUUUGUAUAGCAGACACUCAUGCCAAAUUGCAUCAAAAGCUUUUUUGAAAUCGACAAAGCAUGAUGCUCUCGAUGGCUAAAGAGAAAUGUUCCUGCACGUGUUCAAAGGGGCCCAUGUCUUUGUCUCCCUGCUGUGAAAACUGUUAUGUGACUUCCUUGGAGUCCAAAGGUAUGAACACUGAGCAUUAUGAUGGAAGCCUAUCCAGUCGAGGAAGGGAAUCUAUAUUUUGGAGAGGCAGCAGGGUGCACUGCAACUGUCUACACUGUCCCCUGGUUCCUGGUUAUUUUCCUUCCUAACAGGCAGAGGAUUGGGGCCUCAGAGGCAUUGGACACAGCUGAGUAGACUGGACAGGAAACAGUCGGCCUUACAAGGGAUUGAUCAAGUCAGCCCAGAGAGAGAACACACACAUGCACAUACACACACACCGCAGACUAUGAUUAAAAACCAGUUGUUCCUGAUCCAAUAAGCCAGGCUGAAAGAGAACUCUAAUUAAACAUAGGUGGCAUGGCAACGCUACACAUGUUGGGUUGUGUUAUGCCCUAUGACGAGCCAUGAACUAUGAACUGUUCUGUAUGUUUUGUUGCUGUAAUGAAUACCACUGCAAGGCCUGUGUGUUAGUGCUGUGUUACUGCUGUGUGUUCAUUUGCCUGAAUUUGUUUCUAGUCGGCCUAUAAACAGGCCAUGGCCACUGGCAUGUCUCUGGUGAUACUGAUAGAAAGAGUUAUCCUGACCUCUCUGCUGUGGCUGUACACUUAUCAUGAGCCAGGACACUCACACUGAGGAGAGGGUAGAGAGG